CCUACGGGAGGCAGCAGUAAGGAAUAUUGGUCAAUGGACGCAAGUCUGAACCAGCCAUGCCGCGUGGAGGAUGAAGGUCCUCUGGAUUGUAAACUUCUUUUAUCUGGGACGAAAAAAGGGUUUUCUAACUCGUCUGACGGUACCAGAUGAAUAAGCACCGGCUAACUCCGUGCCAGCAGCCGCGGUAAUACGGAGGGUGCAAGCGUUAUCCGGAUUCACUGGGUUUAAAGGGUGCGUAGGCGGGCAAUUAAGUCCGUGGUGAAAUACCUGAGCUUAACUUGGGAACUGCCAUGGAUACUAUUUGUCUUGAAUGUCGUGGAGGUUAGCGGAAUAUGUCAUGUAGCGGUGAAAUGCUUAGAUAUGACAUAGAACACCUAUUGCGAAGGCAGCUAACUACGCGAAUAUUGACGCUGAGGCACGAAAGCGUGGGGAUCAAACAGGAUUAGAUACCCUGGUAGUCCACGCCCUAAACGAUGAUUACUCGACAUUGGCGAUACACAGUACAGUGUCUGAGACGAAGACGAUUAAAGUUAAAGUACCACCGUACGGGUAAGGUAACGACCGACGAAGUUAGUUAAACGUUAACGAAAGGAAGUUAGACGGCGUUGAGACGUUAGCCGACGGACGACGACGAGGGGAGGUUAGGAG
This 648-nucleotide ribosomal RNA is filed under the name uncultured bacterium. RNAcentral's name for it is "bacterial SSU rRNA". The stretch from base 1 to 543 matches the Rfam family "Bacterial small subunit ribosomal RNA", at positions 338 to 873 of the family's 1533-position model. The record is from RNAcentral.